This 352-nucleotide ribosomal RNA is filed under the name uncultured bacterium. RNAcentral describes it as "partial 16S ribosomal RNA". It matches the Rfam family "Bacterial small subunit ribosomal RNA", at positions 338 to 682 of the family's 1533-position model. The record is from RNAcentral.
CCUACGGGUGGCAGCAGUGGGGAAUAUUGCGCAAUGGGCGAAGGCCUGACGCAGCGACGCCGCGUGAGGGAUGAAGGUCUUCGGAUCGUAAACCUCUGUCAGCAGGGAAGAACGGUCACGGUGCUAAUCAGCAGUGAAUGGACGGUACCUGCAAAGGAAGCACCGGCUAACUCCGUGCCAGCAGCCGCGGUAAUACGGAGGGUGCGAGCGUUAAUCGGAAUUACUGGGCGUACAGCGCUCGUAGGCGGUAUGUCAAGUCAAGGGUGAAAGCCCCGCGCUCAACGUGGGAACUGCCUUUGAAACUGGCAAACUGGAGUGUGUGAGAGGCUAGUGGAAUUCCAGGUGUAGGCGU